GAAUUUCUACCCUAAUUGCCACAAUUAACAUGUAACCAUAAACUAAUUAAAUUAGGGUUUUAAGAAAUAUUAUCUUUGAAGCUUUCAAAAGGUUUGAUAUCUUCUUACCAAUUCUAACCGAGACCACCACUAGUACUCAACUGCUAUCCUCUAGACAAAGAACCGGGUUGUGGGACCCAAUUUUGGUGUAGAAAGUAAUGGAGAUAAAAUGAGAUUGGAAGGUUUCUUUUUUCUUUUGUUGAGAUGAUGAAAAUGAUAAAAGAGGCAAAAGUUCUUCAACAUUUGAAAACACCUCUAUUUAUAACCUAAUUACAUGCAAAAAUGCAUGCAAUUCAUUUGCCAAAUCUCAACACCUAAUGUUCCACUAACAAUUAGUGGAACUUAGUGGGCUAGGUGUCUAUAUCUCAUAUAGCCACAUAUCCCACUAAGAGUUAGUGGGAUUAUCCAACAAAAUGUUGGAUUUUCCCACUAACUUAGUCCAAGGGUAAAAUGGUCAUUAGAUAUUUCUAGUCAAAAGUCAAUAUUUUGACUUUUUACCAUUUUGUCCGUCUUGACUAAUUCCAACCUCCCGAGCAUGAAUCCGCAUUCAUUUUUCCAAAAUUCAAAUCACAUUUGAAUAUAAGGCCGGUCAAAGUUUGACUUUUCAAAGUCAAAAGUCAACAUUUUGACUUUUUACUAUUUUUGACCAAUUCCAUCAAUUCCGAGCUUCUUAGUAUGAAUCCGCAUUCAUACUUAUAGUAUGUAAAACAUAAAAGCUCUAUUUCUAAUUAGAAGACCGACG
RNAcentral lists this long non-coding RNA (781 nucleotides) under Cucumis sativus (cucumber). RNAcentral's name for it is "long non-coding RNA (CSAT_LNC001075)". The record is from RNAcentral. Lineage: Eukaryota; Viridiplantae; Streptophyta; Magnoliopsida; Cucurbitales; Cucurbitaceae.